GCGGAGGUAGCCAAGUGGAUCAAGGCAGUGGAUUGUGAAU
RNAcentral lists this transfer RNA (40 nucleotides) under Pandanus tectorius (thatch screwpine). RNAcentral describes it as "partial tRNA-His". Lineage: Eukaryota; Viridiplantae; Streptophyta; Magnoliopsida; Pandanales; Pandanaceae. The record is from RNAcentral.